UAAGACGGAGGGGGCUAGCGUUGUUCGGAAUGACUGGGCGUAAAGGGCGCGUAGGCGGUUUUUUAAGUGAGGCGUGAAAGCCCUGGGCUUAACCCAGGAGGUGCGUUUCAGACUGAAAGGCUUGAGUGCGAGAGAGGAAAGUGGAAUUCCUAGUGUAGAGGUGAAAUUCGUAGAUAUUAGGAAGAACACCAGUGGCGAAGGCGGCUUUCUGGCUCGCAACUGACGCUGAGGCGCGAAAGCGUGGGGAGCAAACAGGAUUAGAUACCCUGGUAGUCCACGCUGUAAACGAUGAGUGCUAGACGUUGGGUGGAAACAUUCAGUGUCGCAGCUAACGCAAUAAGCACUCCGCCUGGGGAGUACGGUCGCAAGAUUA
RNAcentral lists this ribosomal RNA (373 nucleotides) under uncultured bacterium. RNAcentral describes it as "bacterial SSU rRNA". It matches the Rfam family "Bacterial small subunit ribosomal RNA", at positions 521 to 896 of the family's 1533-position model. The record is from RNAcentral.